RNAcentral lists this small RNA (27 nucleotides) under Bombyx mori (domestic silkworm). Its description in RNAcentral is "ovarian small RNA-31704". Lineage: Eukaryota; Metazoa; Arthropoda; Insecta; Lepidoptera; Bombycidae. The record is from RNAcentral.
UGACGACGAUGACAAGGAGGAGGCGGA